GUUGUAUAUUGCAUUAUUUUUCUGUAUUCACCCCUUGAUACCCUCGGCAGGUGGUAGUGAAUGAGUAUGUGUAAGGGAGCUACCAUUUGAUUUUUAUGGGGGGGGGGGGGGGAUGAAAAAUUUUGUCCUGCAUUUUUUUUUUUAGCUGUAAUCUCUAUCCUGCCUUUUUAUUUUUCACUCUGUUCGGUCUUGCCUUUUUUUUUAAGUUUAUCCUGACUUUUUUUUACCUAAAUUGUCGUCCUGACUUUUUUUUUUUGCAAGUGUCUCAUCCUGCCUUUUUUUUUUACUCAAAACUCCUGUCCUGCCUAUUUUUUUUUCAAAUUUCAUCCUAGCCCCCCCAUAUAAAUCAAAUGGUAGCUCCCUAAUCCUGACUAUUAAUAAUAAUAAAAAAAAAUGAGAUGAGAUUAGAUUUCAAUAAUUGCCUACGCAGGUUUACUUGUGUUUGAUUUAGUUAUCGAUUGUUUUAUCCCAGA
This 473-nucleotide long non-coding RNA is filed under the name Mytilus galloprovincialis (Mediterranean mussel). The record is from RNAcentral. Lineage: Eukaryota; Metazoa; Mollusca; Bivalvia; Mytilida; Mytilidae.